This 492-nucleotide ribosomal RNA is filed under the name uncultured soil bacterium. Its description in RNAcentral is "bacterial SSU rRNA". It matches the Rfam family "Bacterial small subunit ribosomal RNA", at positions 380 to 890 of the family's 1533-position model. The record is from RNAcentral.
AGCCUGACGCAGCAACGCCGCGUGGGUGAUGAAGGUCUUCGGAUUGUAAAGCCCUUUCGGCGGGGACGAUGAUGACGGUACCCGCAGAAGAAGCUCCGGCUAACUUCGUGCCAGCAGCCGCGGUAAUACGAAGGGGGCUAGCGUUGCUCGGAAUGACUGGGCGUAAAGGGCGCGUAGGCGGUUUAGUGAGUUGGGCGUGAAAUUCCUGGGCUUAACCUGGGGGCUGCGUUCAAUACCACUAGGCUUGAGUGUGGAAGAGGGUCGUGGAAUUCCCAGUGUAGAGGUGAAAUUCGUAGAUAUUCGCAAGAACACCAGUGGCGAAAGCGGCUCACUGGCCCGAUACUGACGCUGAGGCACGAAAGCGUGGGGAGCAAACAGGAUUAGAUACCCUGGUAGUCCGCGCCGUAAACGAUGAAUGCCAGCCGUUAGUGGGUUUACUCACUAGUGGCGCAGCUAACGCUUUAAGCAUUCCGCCUGGGGAGUACGGUCGCA